RNAcentral lists this ribosomal RNA (473 nucleotides) under Tetrahymena sp. DLTH177-08. RNAcentral's name for it is "SSU rRNA". It matches the Rfam family "Eukaryotic small subunit ribosomal RNA", at positions 1318 to 1831 of the family's 1831-position model. Lineage: Eukaryota; Ciliophora; Oligohymenophorea; Hymenostomatida; Tetrahymenidae. The record is from RNAcentral.
GGUUAUUCCGUUACGAACGAGACCUUAACCUGCUAACUAGUCUGCUUGUGAACAACAGGCUGUACUUCUUAGAGGGACUAUUGUGCAAGAAGCCAAUGGAAGUUUAAGGCAAUAACAGGUCUGUGAUGCCCCUAGACGUGCUCGGCCGCACGCGCGUUACAAUGACUGGCGCAGAAAGUAUUUCCUGUCCUGGGAAGGUACGGGUAAUCUUAUUAAUACCAGUCGUGUUAGGGAUAGUUCUUUGGAAUUGUGGAUCUUGAACGAGGAAUUUCUAGUAAGUGCAAGUCAUCAGCUUGCGUUGAUUAUGUCCCUGCCGUUUGUACACACCGCCCGUCGCUUGUAGUAACGAAUGGUCUGGUGAACCUUCUGGACUGCGGUAGCCAAUACUGCGGGAAAAUAAGUAAACCCUACCAUUUGGAACAACAAGAAGUCGUAACAAGGUAUCUGUAGGUGAACCUGCAGAUGGAUCAUUA